Molecule: ribosomal RNA, 440 nt
Filed under: uncultured bacterium
Lineage: Bacteria
Description: partial 16S ribosomal RNA
Rfam family: Bacterial small subunit ribosomal RNA
Source: RNAcentral
CCUACGGGAGGCAGCAGUGGGGAAUAUUGGACAAUGGGGGAAACCCUGAUCCAGCGACGCCGCGUGAGUGAAGAAGUAUUUCGGUACGUAAAGCUCUAUCAGCAGGGAAGAAAAUGACGGUACCUGACUAAGAAGCCCCGGCUAACUACGUGCCAGCAGCCGCGGUAAUACGUAGGGGGCAAGCGUUAUCCGGAUUUACUGGGUGUAAAGGGAGCGCAGACGGCUGUGCAAGUCUGGAGUGAAAGGCGGGGGCCCAACCCCCGGACUGCUCUGGAAACUGUAAAGCUGGAGUGCAGGAGAGGUAAGCGGAAUUCCUAGUGUAGCGGUGAAAGGCGUAGAUAUUAGGAGGAACACCAGUGGCGAAGGCGGCUUACUGGACUGCAACUGACGUUGAGGCUCGAAAGCGUGGGGAGCAAACAGGAUUAGAUACCCUUGUAGUC